CGAACGUUGGCGGCGUGCUUAACACAUGCAAGUCGAACGAGAAAGUUCCUUCGGGGACGAGUAAAGUGGCGCACGGGUGAGUAACGCGUAAGUAAUCUACCCUUGCAUCUGGAAUAACUACGGGAAGCUGUAGCUAAUACCGGAUACGUUCUCCAUUCUACGGGAUGGAGAAGAAAGAUGACCUCUUCUUGAAAGUUAUCGUGCAGGGAGGAGCUUGCGUACCAUUAGCUAGUUGGUAGGGUAAUGGCCUACCAAGGCAACGAUGGUUAGCGGGUCUGAGAGGAUGAUCCGCCACACUGGAACUGGAACACGGACCAGACUCCUACGGGAGGCAGCAGUGAGGAAUAUUGCGCAAUGGGGGAAACCCUGACGCAGCGACGCCGCGUGGAUGAUGAAGGCCUUAGGGUCGUAAAAUCCUGUCAGGUGGGAAGAAAUGUAUGAGAGAAUAAUACCUCUUGUGCUUGACGGUACCACCAGAGGAAGCACCGGCUAACUCC
RNAcentral lists this ribosomal RNA (497 nucleotides) under uncultured bacterium. Its description in RNAcentral is "bacterial SSU rRNA". It matches the Rfam family "Bacterial small subunit ribosomal RNA", at positions 30 to 504 of the family's 1533-position model. The record is from RNAcentral.